Molecule: ribosomal RNA, 468 nt
Filed under: uncultured bacterium
Lineage: Bacteria
Description: partial 16S ribosomal RNA
Rfam family: Bacterial small subunit ribosomal RNA
Source: RNAcentral
GAUGAACGCUGGCGGCGUGCUUAACACAUGCAAGUCGAACGAACGGGCCAGGAUUUUGUGGGGUGGAUGUUUGCGGAGGGGGGGAGAAAAACGUGUGUAUCACCCACUUGUAUUUGGGGUAAAUCUUGGAAACUGGGGAGAUAACAGGAUAGAAGAUCUUGAUCCGUGUUGGGGGUUGGAAAGUUUCGGUCGUUGGGGAUGGUCUAGCGGCUUACGAGCUACUUGGUGGGGUAGGGGCUUACAAGGCUUUUGACGGGUAGCCGGCCUGAGAGGGUGACCGGCCACAUGAGGACUGAGAUACGGCGCAGACGGCUACGGGAGGCAGCAGUGGAGAAUCUGGCACAAUAGGCGGAAGCCUGAUGCAGCAACGCCGCGUGCGGGAUGACGUCCUUCGGGUGGUAAACCGCUUUCGCAUGUGACGAAGCGUGAUUGACGGUAAUGGGUAAAGAAGCACCGGCUAACUACGUG